AUGCAUGAAGUCAUACGCCUUCUUGCCCUCAACAAAGCCAAGGAGGAAUGCUUUGGUAAAGUUUAUAAUGGCUCUGCUACUGGGGCAUUCUCUGUAGAGGGUGUACGUCGCAUAUCGGUCCAGGGAGAAAACCUUGAACAACUGAGCCGAUCUGGUGCAACACAUCUCCGUGCACUCCAUGUAUUUGGGAGGUAUAUCGAUAUUGACUUUCUGAAGCCUAUUCUAACUGCUUCGAAUCUGCUGUCGACAUUGGAUCUUAAAGGUACUCGUAUCAGAAUGCUGCCCAAUGAGGUAUUCGACUUGUUUAAUCUACGUUAUUUGGGUCUUAGACAUACCGAGAUCGAAAGCCUUCCUGAAGCAGUGGUGAGGUUACAAAAUUUGGAAGUCUUGGAUGCUUUUGGCACUAAGCUGACAUAUUUGCCAAACAAUGUUGUUAAACUUCAGAAGUCAAGACACCUAUAUGCGUGGACGUCCGGCAUAAGUGUAGGUGGGGUCAAGGUGCCUAAUGGCAUGCAGCACUUGGUAGGACUAUGGGCUCUUCAGGGCGUCAACGCCACUCCAGAGUUUCUGCGUGAAGUUAGAGUUCUUACGGAGCUAAGAACAUUCGGUGUGUGUAAAGUAAGAAGCCAACACUCUGCUGACUUGAGCAAUGCUAUCACCAAAAUGAGCCAUCUUGUUCAUCUCAAAAUUCUUGCUGCAGCUGAGAAUGAGGUUCUGCGGUUUGAAGGGCUAUAUUUACCUCCAACCCUUUCAUGGCUUUGUUUAGGAGGGCAACUAGGAAAAACAUUUAUGCCUGAGCUUUUCUCUUCAUGGUCACACCUUAAUAGCCUUACUCGCUUGACUCUGGCAUUCUCCAAUAUUGACGAGGAAACCUUUUCCUGUCUACGCGUGUUAUGUGGUCUACGCUUUCUCGAGCUAAUUAAGGCCUUUGAAGGGAAGAGGUUGCAUUUUACCGCAGGGUCAUUUCCAAAAUUUAGGUAUCUAUUCAUAUGGGUUGCGGCACAGCUCAACCAGGUUCAAAUAGAGGAGGGCGCGAUGCAAAACCUUGUCGAGCUAUCAUUCACAGAGUGUCCUGAGCUAAAUUUUCUUCCUAAUGGCAUCGAACACCUUGCAGCCCUUGAGAAAUUAAUUGUGAAAGACACGUCAGAAGAACUGAUAGAGAAACUCCGGCAGAAGAGAGAUUCUGAUGAAUGCACCAAACAUGUAAUGAAGAUUAGCCACAUAAGGAAUGUUACAGUUGGACUGAGGCAGAAAGGACUUUGGGAAAGGAUUAGGUGA
This 1278-nucleotide ribosomal RNA is filed under the name Triticum aestivum (bread wheat). RNAcentral's name for it is "partial small subunit ribosomal RNA". The record is from RNAcentral. Lineage: Eukaryota; Viridiplantae; Streptophyta; Magnoliopsida; Poales; Poaceae.